AAAUAGCCCCGAUUGAAAUGGAAAUCCUUUUUUUACGCGAGCGAAGCGACCGUAAAAAAGAUUGUAAUGGAAAGCGGGAACAAUC
RNAcentral lists this small RNA (85 nucleotides) under Halpernia frigidisoli. RNAcentral describes it as "Flavo-1 RNA". It matches the Rfam family "Flavo-1 RNA". Lineage: Bacteria; Pseudomonadati; Bacteroidota; Flavobacteriia; Flavobacteriales; Weeksellaceae. The record is from Rfam by way of RNAcentral.